UAGAUGCCUUUCCUUUCCUAUGCCCACAAAUCAUGCACAAAUCAUGGAUUGGCUUGACCGUGGGCCUCCAACCUUCAUCCUCUAGCUCCUACAUCUCUGGUGGAACCGGAGCUCGCGGGCGGCGGAACCCCUGCGUAUAGAGACGGUCCAACUGAGCCAUUCACCCCUCACAGCCCCAGGACAAGGCGACACCCUUCCUGCUUUGCUACUUCGCGACCUCUCUCAAAUUUUAUUCAUCAUAAAUAUAUCCUCUUUUGUAGAGCAACCAUGUCCAGAUGUAAAUGAGCACCACUAGCUAAUCCUGAUUUUAUAUGUAGAUGAAUUUGCGUUGGAAAUGUCAGUACUUAACGGUGUUGCCAUACUAGCCUUGCAAACAUCAGUUUCCGCUGUCGCCCAGGCCGUUUCCCCUGUAUCCGCUAUCCUUAAUCCCUGUUGUUUCUUUUCUUUUGUUGCUUCUUAGUAUUGUCUUUUUUGAACAGCAUGAAUUGGUCACCAGAGAGGAGCAGACUAUUAUGUGGUUAACGGGGGCGUGCGGAUUUGUAGGUCCAAUGAGAGUAAGGAGGGCAUGCGCGACCCAUUUGGCAGCCAGGCCGACUAGCAGGAACCGCCGUCCACGAGAAUGGUGAGAUACUGAUUUUGGAACAUGUGUCUGUGGAUGAUCCAACAAUUCAGGCUGAUUUGAUAUCUUGCAAUGCUAUUGUUGAUCAGGGAUAUCCAGGUUCUUCUACAAAUGCUAAUUUGGUUUUGAAUCAUCUGUCCUCAACUCCUAAUGCACUAUGAAGAUCUUUGCAUGAACUGAUCAUAUCUGUCCUCAGCUCCUAAUGCACUAUGAAAUGCUACUUAGGUUAGCUAAAUAAUUACUCCCCUUCAGUAGUUUUGGAAAACAGAAUGAUUUUCGAUAGAAGUAAACAGGUUGGUUGUUGGACAUACAACUGAAGACCACGCUAAUAUUUAUGCAGAUAUUUCCUGUUUCACAGAUUUCUGUUCACUUUAUUUUAGGUUGUGUUUAUAUGAAAGGAAACUCAGUUCUGUUUAAUGUGGAUGUGAGAUGUUCUUAGCUAUAGUGUAAUAUAAAAAGUAGCUCAGCUACGUUACAUCAACUGUUUAUUUGGUGAACAUGUUUACCGAUAACCACUAAAAUUUUCUUCCAUAUGUAUCUAUACUUUUAUCAUAUUUUCUAUUUGCACAAUGAUUUUUUGGGUUGUUAGUGCAAAUGAGGUCAACUAUCUUUUGCUUGCUGCAAACCUUUCCUACGGGAAUCUUAGCUGAGGAAUCAUUUAGUUGACAGUGUUGUGAAUCUGUUUAGUUGAUAGCCUAAGGUACUACUUGGCCAGAGAAGAAAAAUUCCCAUCUUAUUGAAUGACUCCCCAGCUAUAUGAAUCAUUUUUGCCAGUACGUAGACUAUUUUGUAAAAUUCAAGUAGUCAGUUAUCUCAAGAUUAAUAUUCUAUUGCUUCCUGCAUUUUUUUUCUUAGGGUAGAUAGAUAUAUUCUUUGCAUAGAAUCUCCAAUUUACGUUCAUAUGGAUCAAAGCAAUAAUACUUUUGCCAAAAAAAUAUAAUACUUACAUUUUGGAAAAAGUUGUUUGUUACUUCGAUUUCUCACAGGAUUCCUUCACAAAACAUAUCUAGCAAUUCUGGUCACCCAAGGAUGUCAGCUCCAUGUCUGGAAAAAAGAGAAGGCAAAAACACCUACUACUACACCAACCAAGAAGCAUAUCAGCAGGAGCCAAGAUCCGCCCACAGAGAUGGAGAAACUUAGCUUAAGAAUCUAAGACAAAAUGGGAGUGGAGCUGCUGAAACAAAGAUUGAGCACACUGUUGCAAAUCAGAUACCUGCACACUGGUGCCAACCAGUUAUGUAUAUAUCACGGACC
Molecule: long non-coding RNA, 1873 nt
Organism: Lolium rigidum
Lineage: Eukaryota; Viridiplantae; Streptophyta; Magnoliopsida; Poales; Poaceae
Exons: 3
Source: RefSeq, a predicted model, not a curated record